This 406-nucleotide ribosomal RNA is filed under the name uncultured bacterium. RNAcentral describes it as "partial 16S ribosomal RNA". It matches the Rfam family "Bacterial small subunit ribosomal RNA", at positions 30 to 526 of the family's 1533-position model. The record is from RNAcentral.
AUUGAACGCUGGCGGCAGGCUUAACACAUGCAAGUCGAGCGAGCGGCGGACGGGUGAGUAAUGUCUGGGAAACUGCCUGAUGGAGGGGGAUAACUACUGGAAACGGUAGCUAAUACCGCAUACCAUCAGACGUGCCCAGAUGGGAUUAGCUAGUAGGUUGGGUAAUGGCUCACCUAGGCGACGAACCCUAGCUGGUCUGAGAGGAGGACCAGCCACACUGGAUCUGAGACACGCUCCAGACGCCUACGGGAGGCAGCAGGGGGUAAUAUUGAACAUUGGGCGCAAGCCGGAUGCAGCCAUCCCGCGUGGGGGAAGAAGGCCUUCGGGUUGUAAAGCACUUUCAGCGAGGAGGCGUUACUCGCAGAAGAAGCACCGGCUAACUCCGUGCCAGCAGCCGCGGUAAUUC